This 493-nucleotide ribosomal RNA is filed under the name uncultured bacterium. RNAcentral's name for it is "bacterial SSU rRNA". It matches the Rfam family "Bacterial small subunit ribosomal RNA", at positions 43 to 507 of the family's 1533-position model. The record is from RNAcentral.
CGUGCCUCAUAUAUGCAAGUCGAACGAGAAAGUGAUUUUCGAAUCGCGAGUAAAGUGGCGAACCGGGUGAGUAACGCGUGGGUAAUCUGCCCUCGAUGGGGAAUAACAUUCCUAACGGGAUGCUAAUACCGCAUAACACCACCGUAUCGCAUGGUACGGUGGUCAAAGGUGGCCUCUACUUGUAAGCUAUCGCUUGAGGAUGAGCCCGCGUUUCAUUAGCUUGUUGGUGAGGUAACGGCUCACCAAGGCAGCGAUGAAUAGCCGGCCUGAGAGGGUGUCCGGCCACACUGGGACUGAGAUACGGCCCAGACUCCUACGGGAGGCAGCAGUAGGGAAUUUUGCGCAAUGGGGGGAAAACCCUGACGCAGCAACGCCGCGUGGGUGAUGAAGCUCCUUGGAGUGUAAAACCCUGUCAGGAGGGAAGAAGCUAUCAUCGGGAUAACACCUCGAUGACGUGACGGUACCUCCAGAGGAAGCUCCGGCUAACUCCGUG